This 774-nucleotide ribosomal RNA is filed under the name uncultured Neocallimastigales. RNAcentral describes it as "partial large subunit ribosomal RNA". It matches the Rfam family "Eukaryotic large subunit ribosomal RNA", at positions 24 to 649 of the family's 3401-position model. The record is from RNAcentral. Lineage: Eukaryota; Fungi; Neocallimastigomycota; Neocallimastigomycetes; Neocallimastigales.
UAUGUGAUCGUCUCUCGCAUAUCAAUAAGCGGAGGAAAAGAAACUAACAAGGAUUCCCCUAGUAACGGCGAGUGAAGCGGGAAGAGCUCAAAUUUGAAAUCUUAAAGGGUUUCCCUUUACGAAUUGUAGUUUAAAGAAGUGUUUUCUGUUGAGGUUUUGGUAAAAGUUCUUUGGAAUAGGACAUCAUAGAGGGUGAGAAUCCCGUAUUUGACCUUUACUUUCAACUUUGUGAUACACUUUCAAAGAGUCGGAUUGUUUGGGAAUGCAGUCCAAAAUGGGUGGUAAAUUUCAUCUAAAGCUAAAUAUUGGCGAGAGACCGAUAGCGAACAAGUACCGUGAGGGAAAGAUGAAAAGAACUUUGAAAAGAGAGUUAAACAGUACGUGAAAUUGUCAAAAGGGAAGCGUUUGACACCAGUGUUGUUUUUCUGAAAAUCAAUUAAAGAACUGUUUAUGCUAAGUUGUUUAGACUUUAUCAGCUAACUGUUUAGUUUUGAGCUUUUCUUUAAUGCACUUUUCAGUUAACAAGUCAACAUCAAUUUCUUUUGCUGCUAAAAAGCUUGAGGAAGGUGGCUUGAGAUUCGUCUUAAGUGUUUAUAGCCUCUUGCCUAUGCAGUCGGAGAGAUUGAGGUCUGCAGCGUAGAUCCUUCGGGGCUAAAUGCAUUUGUGCUAAGUUAUAGCAUUUUAUAGACAACUUGUUGACUAUGAUUUGUCUUGUAGCUUACUCGCUUAUGUUAUUUUACCUACGCUUAGGAUGUUGAGUAGCGACAUACGCAC